UACAAAUACAUAUAUCAACUAAAGACUGACAAAGAAGCAUGACGCAAUGCUUUAAACUGGCCAGAGGGGUUGAUGCCCUGAACAUGAAAGUACUCCCAUCCUGCGAAUGGCGGAUGAAGACCAUCUGACUGGGUUGGACAAGGACAGGGACAUACUUGUUCCUUCAUUGGGCCGAGGCUCCACUGUGUUUAUCGGCUAAUCGGUAACCUUUUCUGAGUGCUGUGGAGAGUGUAUGGUGGGUUUAUCAGAGCCUGGUAAUGUGGGCAAAAACAAAGAGCUAAAAAGAAGUUCUACUAAAGUUUUAGUAGAAUUGAAGAAAACCGCAGGGUUGGCUGGCGACUGACUGUGUUUUUUUCCCGCACAGACGCCACUCCCUCACUUCAUAUUACAGAUAUUAAUAUGGGCCAUUAUUAAAACGACAGCAAAGUUUGUGCAGCUCUGAAUUGAUUUGUCCCAAAUUCCGUUCAGCCUCAUUGCAAGAGUCGGAAAUCUCAAGAAAAUAAAUCAGCUUCACUUUGAAACAACACAAAAUAUGAAAAUUGACGGGUGAUGUGACCUUUUGAUACACGUUAUCAGGUUGCAUUUCCUAUACGAGAGUCUUAUCCCGUAUCUAGAGGCGGUGUGGCUAUAUGGGUACAAUGGGCAGGCUCUGUGGGUGAAUAAUGCGUGGUGGUUUAUGUUUGUGUAUGUGCUCAUAUUUCAUUCUGUGAUAGGCCUCGGCUGUUUUCACUGGAUAAAUAUGUACCGUACACCUACUCUUUUCCCACACACACUCACGGAACAUCAGAGAGAUUUUUCCCAUCCCUUUGUACACAAAUAGCGGCGGAGCACUAUAAAUGAACAUCCAAAAUGCAACCCAAUUACUACGGUGUCCCUUUACUCAACUUUUUCAUAUUAAGCCCCGGUUGUCAAACAGAUUGUCUCCGGUGCUCCGAGCAGCUCGCGCCGUGAAACUGUUUUUUAUUAAGGGAGGAUUGCCAUGGGCCUUAGGCUGGUGGUGUAAUGUAAUUUCACAGCUCAGCGUCCGUGCAGCCACUUCAGGGUCCAACCACGGCCACCCACACCUUUAAAAGAGCCACAAGAGGCGCUGAACGGGCGACAGGCCGCUAGAAAGCUUUAGGAGCGAGGGGGGAGCCCCAAUAUGAAAUUCCUGCACAGGAAAUGACUUCAAAACAGCACAACAGCCCGUAAGGCUUUGGAAAUAAACAUGCAGGGAGAUAGUCCUCGUUGAGGGUUUUUGUAAUGAAACGUGGGGGACGGUGAGACAGCGUUAGUGGAUUAUGGAAAUGAUCAGAGAUGCAUUCUACGAUUUACUUUUGCUAAAGCUUUUCCAAGCUAUAUUGAAAAGAAAAGUAUCAUGUGAAGAAUGUUAGAUAAACUCAUAUCGUCUGUUGAAGGAAAGGAUACAGAUGCUUAGGAAGAUGUUCAUAAAGGACAGAACUUACGUGCAUCGUACCUAUUGAAGUGAGGACAUUUCCUCAGAUAUGCACAUGUGUAUUUGAACGGUUUUCUGCAUUGACAAACCUACAUAAUGGACUGGUGUUACACACCAUUUUUGUACGGAUGAAAUCAAACAUAUCAUGCAUUAAUUAUGUUGGUAGACACAUUUGUUUUGUUUCGCGACUUUCUUUCAGAGUCUCUGUGCUAAACUUAUUACCUUUUAACACAUGGCUAACUUGACAAGAAACCACAUUGUACCCCUCAAAAUGUCAAACCUCUUGUUUGAGCCUGGCGCUGGAGUCAGUACAUGUUUAGCGUGUAUACUGGAAAUAGGGGGAAACAGCUAACUGGCCGGCUAGUUAGUUGGUGUGCCGAUAAACAGAUUUUUAUUAAUAUGAUCUAUUAUUUAAUCCAGACUGGUUGUUAUCCCACCUCCAUUUUUUAAUUUCAACAAAUAUCCUGACCCCAGCUAAACUUAUAUAUUUUUGGAAAUAUGCUUAUUUAUUGUUUGUUUUUGUCCAAGAAGAUCAAUUUCACUCACAUCUCUACGUUCAAUAUGAAGCGAGAGGUGGUUAGCUUAGCUCAACUUAAGGACUGAAAACCAGUAGCAUGACUUUUUUCAAGGGAGAAAAAAAAUCCCCUACAAGCACCUAUAAAGCUACCAACAUUUCCAAACUUAUGGCUAAGCUAAGCUAAUGGUUUGCCAGCUCUAGCGUCAUAUUUACAGUACAGACUGGAGUGUGUUCUCAAUCCCAUGCCAAUCUAUGCUUGAGUGUGUCCUAAAAUCUUGACCUAUGCCUUUGACAUGUGCCCUUUGCAAAUAGCCCCAUGACGUUAAGAUAAAAGUGUAAAUAGGGGCAACAAGCUCCUGGCUUUGGUGUAAGGUAACAAAUGAAUCUACCACAACCUUUAAAGCUUACCAAUGUUCUAUCUUCAUUUUUGCCUUUUUGUUAAGAUAAGAUAACUAGCCACUACCUAGAGCUACAUGUUUACUGUACAAUACAUAAGAUAUAAGUGUCAUAUCAAUCGUCUCAUGUCAUUAUCAGUACAUCACAAAGGUUUCUACCUAUUCCUUUGACAUGGCCCCUUUGAAAGUAGGCCCAGAUUCACAUGCCGAUUCUCACGUGACAAUAAAGCUGCGCACACUCACACAUAUAGACCCCCACACGCACAGACCUACACACGCACACACACUCACGUAUACAGACUCACACACACAUGCAAGCACCCACCCACACACCCACAUACACGUGUGCACACACACACAAACGACUCAUGAUGUUGGACAAAUUACACCUAAGGCUCCUUUACCAUCUGCUCAUAAUCCAGCAUAUUAACUCGUUACAUCACUGGUGGACUAAGUUUAUUUAAAAUAAAAGAACAAAGAGCAGAGGUAUAUUCUUUGUCUACAAUGAACCAAAGUAGUGGCUGCAACAACGGAUGACCCAGCAAAUGAGCAAAACACAACAAUCAGCCCAACCUUCACGUUACGAGUUACGAACGAGAGUCGCUCAUGCUUAUUCAGUGUGUCCACUGAGGUGUGCAGCCUCUUCAUUUAAUAUUUCCAUAAGGUUGCAUAUGAGGGUACGCCAGGCAAUCCCUGUAAUAAGGAGGUAAUGUAUUCUGUGCCAAUGGCAAAAAGGUACGCUUUAAACAUCCCUCACAGGAGCAGUGAGUUUUCUACUUGACAGUGGACACAUACAUAAUUAAGCCAACUAGAAAAAAAUGAAUAUUUCAUCUCAAAGCAUUUUCAUCUCCAAACAUCAAAACACCUCAACGUCUCACAUAAUGAGCAAGGUAAAUCAGUUCUAUUCACAGAGGGAAUAGGCAACAAGGAGUGCUCACUCAAAGCACCUUGCUUAAAAAAUAGAUCAGCUCGGGAAGAGGGGAAACUCAAAACACUUCUCUGUGUAUGUUUGCCAGAAUACUCUGUGUCCUUGGAGGAAGCGGCCGUUUUGAAAUUUAAAAAAGAGCUAAUUCUUUCCUGGGAUUGUUUGUCUAACCAUGUCUUUUUUGUGCAAAGCCAUAAUUGUGUUAUUAUGUUAUAUUACAGCGUCAGCCUUAAUGCUUUGUGGCCUGAUCUGACUGUAACUCAUACUGACCUGUAAUUCACGACAUGUCAUCCGUGAGUCGCCGGAGGACUUUUGGCUUCACGGAUAUGCAGGCGCAUGCCAAUGUAGAGGAUAAAUUGUUCCAUAACGUUGCCGCAGUAGAGUUUUUACUAGUGUGGUCCACAUAAGCGCCAGCUUUUCUCCAUUUCUGCGAUGGCAUCGACACUCUGAUAGGUCUGAGCUUCCGAAGAAUAGCUUGUAAAUUAUAGCUCUGAAAUGGCAGUGUGGUAUGCGGGAGGGGAAAGGAGAUGCUGUGUUUAGUGCAGCAACAGCAGCCCCCCCGCGCUGGAGAGAAUUACUUUGACCGUCAAACCCUGACUCAGACUUGCUCCCCGAACACCUUCAUAGAUAGGGAAUUAACCUGCCACAGCUUGAAACGCUUUACUGAGCGCUGGUCGAUACUGUCAUUAUCCUAAAGCAAUUCUUAAUUCUAUUUGGCCCUGAGCUAAAGAUCCUUGUAUUGAUCACAAAGUACCGAUGACACGACUACUUUUUUUCACUGUGUUAAAAAAAGACAGCUCUUAUAAGUCCAAUGCAGGGCCACAUGCGCUACAGAAGAGAAGAGUAUCAUUUUGAAUGUUGGAACAUGUGUUUCAGUGUGACACCUGAGUAUUUAACCAAGUGUUACAGUUACAAGGCACCAAUGCUAGUGAGUGAUCAAGGGUAACAGAAAAAAAGCAUUUCUCUUUCAUAUCCUGUUUUGAGAGAUGAGAGAUGUUGAUAUUACUUGCCGAGCUCCAUCAGCAUGAAACGGGGCCCUUGAGAAAUGCAGUGGUGACAACACCUGUACUGCAGUUCCUGGUUGCUUGCUGCUUGUUCUUUGUUCUCGAGGCUUCUGACAAAUGCUGCUCGAAAGAGACGGAGAAAGACACAGAGAGAAAUCCUGAGCAGCAUGAAACUGAAUACAUCUUUUUCUGUCAUUGACACACACACACACACACACACCCACGCACAUGCAACAUGGCCACCUGUCACAGACUAUACACUGAGGCCUGUGACAGUGGUUAACAGAACAGGACAUGUGUAGCCCCAGGUGACUCAAAUUGCAAAACUAACAACACCAUGCUUCAUUGCACCAAGAAAUACCAGUAAGAAGGGCGUGUGUGUUGUGCGUGUGUGGUGUGACAUUGUCAAUUCACAUGCAUGUCUAAGUGCUUUAGCUCAUGGGUAUACAUCAGUGUCACAACGGAUCCUUAUAACGCAGCCUUUUUGACAUACAGAGACAUUUUUAAUUAAUUAAUUAUGUUGGGACAUCCAAAUAUGAACUUCAAAUGGAUCUGUAAUCAUGUAAUCAUUACACAAAGGCAACGUGCACAAAGCAACGUUUAAAAAAGACCAACAUCUACUCUGAGAGGGCUCUAUACCAGGAGGCUUCCCUCCUGAUGAAAACACACACAUCUGAGUUAAGAUCACAAACUUUACCAACCUUUCACCAUUCUUUUUCAUUGGCAAUACAAGAAACUAAUUCUGAAAGGAUGCAACAAGUACUAGCCAAUCAGAAGCAGAGUAGGGCGGAUCUUUGCAGAAAAAAACAAAUAUCAAACUACUGUAAAUAACAGGUGGCACAACUGCCGAUGGCUGUGAAACAAAAAAGCACUGUUAAUUGACGUUGUGUACCCCGGCUCUGUUGUAACGCAAUAAUUCAUAUUGACUUAAAUUGAAAGAAGACAAGAGAAAAAAAUAUUUUUAUCAAUACAUAAAUGUUUUACCUAUGUAAAUAGUAUUCUUUUUUAUUUUUUAUUCUAGCAGUAAGAAUCAAAUUUUAGUGGGAACAUUUGGCAGUAGCAAUUACAGCAGCAUGAGAAGGGAUGCUGCUGUUGGGCCCCUGACCAGCAGCACUCCUAUGACCCUCCAUUCAUUCACACAUACAUCAUGUGUGUAUGAAUAAAGCCUCUAGGGCUCCUCCACUAAACAAGGCUAAGCCUUAAGAUGGAAGACUGGCUUUGGCAGGAGUUUUGUCCCUUAUUUUGUAGUAUCUGGUAUCCUUUUUUGGUCAUGUGACACAUUAACAUAUGAUUUGAGGAACAACUUCCUCCUGGGACUAGAAGGAUCAUCUAUGUCAUAGUAAUAAAUACAAAUAUGCAAUAAAUGUAAUAUAGUAUAAAGUAUAUUUGUGAGCCCUUUUCUCCCUGGCAUCUCCAUCUGCUUGGUAAUCCAGCCUGGAUUGUUAAACUGGUACCUAGACUACCUGCUAGUAAACAAACUACUCGAAUGCACGGAGUAGAUACACUGUAAUAUAGAUAUUGACCUGUUUUAAGGAGAAUGUGAAUUUAACUAUGACCUGAUCCAUUUUACAGCUACAUGUCCUAAUAUUCCGCGUGUCCUUUAUUCCGUCAUGCGUUUUAGGCCCACAGCAAACCCUACACAAACAUGGCCGAUGGUAAAUACGAGAGGAAGAGGGAUUGACAGCUAAUCUGAGUUUAAUAUUGAAAUAAGCAUCAAGAGAGGAAUACAUUGAUCGUUGCUUAAAAUGAGCACCAUCUCCAAUGUAUAAUGCCUCUCUCAUGAAAAAAUACAGUCACGUGUAUAGAAUGAGAAUAUAUAUAUAUAUAUAUAUGACAAUCACACUGACGCGGGCCUGGAACCCUUCCAGAAGCGUGGUUCUUCCUUAAUGUUUUGUAAUCUACUAUCUUAAAGGGAUACUCCAGUGAUUUAGUUCUGAAACAAGUAAUAAGAGUUAUCUUUUUUACUUGAAGGGGACAGAUUAUGAAAUGUGGUGGCUAAUUGUAAACAGGUGUGGGUGGGCUGUAGCAUGCAAUGGUAGGGGGAACACUGGAUUAAUUUCAUAUAUGAAGACCGUGUCCUUGGCUAGAAUUGGAAAAGUCUGUCUAGUUCAAAGCGAUAUGGUUGCAAGAGUGUAUCAAUGGAAUGCUUGGAAUCACACAAUAUUUACAUUUCUAUCACAGGUCAGUUGACAAAUAUUUAUUCAUUUGUAACCAUUUGUUUUUUACAUUUCAUGAUGACACAGGCGAGGUAUGCUAUGCAAGGCUCGGGGGAGUGUGGAUGGGGAGGGUGCAGAGGGGUGGGGGGUUACUGGCCCAUUAGAAUUAAGUCAUUGUGAGCAGAGCUAUUGUAGGCAGGCUCAAAAGCGUGGCGUUAAUAAUGAUCCUUGUGGUAUUUUAACCAAAUUAUGUUUUAGACGUUUCAAUCAGACCACAAAGAACCAUAUCAACGUGUUGUAAAAGGGCAUAAUAUGGCUCCUUUAGGUUUCCCUUGCCUCGAAUUCAGUGGGUUUUCAAAUAUUUUUUAGACCUCUAGAAUAACGUAUAUAUGGUUAACACAGGCUUAUGUGGUUUAAUGUUUUUGCAACAUUAAAUAAUUUAAUAAAUGCCCCUUUCAUUCAUUUUGAAGAGUAAAAAAGGCUUCUUCUGCUGAUUGCAUUUAGGUCAUUUUGGAAGAUUAUCUAUAUGUACAAAUUGUGUAAGUAUAAUAUGCCUGUGUUUGCCACAGAGUGUAUUUUAUCCAUCAAUUAAAAAUCCCAUUGACUUUUGUCCUUGGAACUAGUUCAAUGUUUACUUCCGGGUUUGGCCCAUCAAAAUGCGCCACUACUGCUUCAAUAAAGUUGAGAGAACAUGAUUUGUA
Gasterosteus aculeatus aculeatus (three-spined stickleback) is the source of this 7133-nucleotide long non-coding RNA. The record is from Ensembl. NCBI's taxonomy places the organism in Eukaryota, Metazoa, Chordata, Actinopteri, Perciformes, Gasterosteidae.